CCUACGGGAGGCUGCAGUGGGGAAUAUUGGACAAUGGGGGGAACCCUGAUCCAGCCAUGCCGCGUGUGUGAAGAAGGCCCUCGGGUUGUAAAGCACUUUCAGUGAGGAAGAACGCCUGGUGGUUAAUACCCAUCAGGAAAGACAUCACUCACAGAAGAAGCACCGGCUCAACUCCGUGCCAGCAGCCGCGGUAAUACGGAGGGUGCGAGCGUUAAUCGGAAUUACUGGGCGUAAAGCGCGCGUAGGUGGCUUGAUAAGCCGGUUGUGAAAGCCCCGGGCUCAACCUGGGAACGGCAUCCGGAACUGUCAAGCUAGAGUGCAGGAGAGGAAGGUAGAAUUCCCGGUGUAGCGGUGAAAUGCGUAGAGAUCGGGAGGAAUACCAGUGGCGAAGGCGGCCUUCUGGACUGACACUGACACUGAGGUGCGAAAGCGUGGGUAGCAAACAGGAUUAGAUACCCCGGUAGUC
Molecule: ribosomal RNA, 466 nt
Filed under: Vreelandella stevensii
Lineage: Bacteria; Pseudomonadati; Pseudomonadota; Gammaproteobacteria; Oceanospirillales; Halomonadaceae
Description: partial 16S ribosomal RNA
Rfam family: Bacterial small subunit ribosomal RNA
Source: RNAcentral